RNAcentral lists this ribosomal RNA (466 nucleotides) under uncultured microorganism. Its description in RNAcentral is "bacterial SSU rRNA". It matches the Rfam family "Bacterial small subunit ribosomal RNA", at positions 9 to 521 of the family's 1533-position model. The record is from RNAcentral.
GAGUUUGAUCUUGGCUCAGAAUGAACGCUGGCGGCAUGCCUAACACAUGCAAGUCGAACGAAGGCUUCGGCCUUAGUGGCGCACGGGUGCGUAACGCGUGGGAAUCUGCCCUUGGGUUCGGAAUAACAGUUAGAAAUGACUGCUAAUACCGGAUGAUGUCGUAAGACCAAAGAUUUAUCGCCCAAGGAUGAGCCCGCGUAGGAUUAGCUAGUUGGUGGGGUAAAGGCCCACCAAGGCGACGAUCCUUAGCUGGUCUGAGAGGAUGAUCAGCCACACUGGGACUGAGACACGGCCCAGACUCCUACGGGAGGCAGCAGUGGGGAAUAUUGGACAAUGGGCGAAAGCCUGAUCCAGCAAUGCCGCGUGAGUGAUGAAGGCCUUAGGGUUGUAAAGCUCUUUUACCCGGGAUGAUAAUGACAGUACCGGGAGAAUAAGCUCCGGCUAACUUCGUGCCAGCAGCCGCAGU